RNAcentral lists this ribosomal RNA (253 nucleotides) under uncultured bacterium. Its description in RNAcentral is "partial 16S ribosomal RNA". It matches the Rfam family "Bacterial small subunit ribosomal RNA", at positions 524 to 776 of the family's 1533-position model. The record is from RNAcentral.
GACAGAGGGUGCGACCGUUGUUCGGAAUUACUGGGCGUAAAGCGCGUGUAGGCGGCUUGGCAAGUCGGGUGUGAAAGCCCUGGGCUCAACCUAGGAAGUGCACUCGAAACUGCCGAGCUGGAGUUCUGGAGAGGAAGGCGGAAUUCUCGGUGUAGAGGUGAAAUUCGUAGAUAUCGAGAGGAACACCGGUGGCGAAGGCGGCCUUCUGGACAGUGACUGACGCUGAGACGCGAAAGCUAGGGGAGCAAACGGG